GCACCGCUGAGGAGUCCUAAUAAUAGGACGAAACGGCCGUCCAGUGC
This is a non-coding RNA of Schistosoma rodhaini, 47 nucleotides long. Lineage: Eukaryota; Metazoa; Platyhelminthes; Trematoda; Strigeidida; Schistosomatidae. The record is from Rfam.